CUUUAAGAGAAAUCCUCAUCUUUUUCUUGAAAUCCUCCUUAUGGACUCUCUUAAAGAUACUGUAUGUUCUGAAACUCUACUAUUAAUAUAUACUGUUCCUGUAAUACUGCAUUCAUUUUAAAUCAUAUGCAUUUGGGGGAUUUUUUUCAAGCUCUCUGACAAUAUAAUUUAGACAGGAACCAAAAUGGUAUAGUCAGAGCUAUUUCUGAUCCAGUUAAUCUUUGCAUUAGAAGAUAGUUCCUGGCAAGAUACAGAAGUGAAAAUUUAACUCUGUGAGAAUACAAGAACACUUGACAACUACUAUCAUCACUGUAGCUGACUAAGAAACUGCUACUAGGAAAUGUAAAAUUACACUGAAGGAAUCGGCUUCCUGACCUUUGAACAGAAAUGAAUUCCUUUAUUGCAAGAAAUUAUGAUUAUUUGCUGGUGUGGAAGACAAAUGAGCUGAUGUUCCACUGGGUAUUCUGAACAACAUCCACUACAGCAUUGCUCAAGGUUCAAGAGUGAAAUUCAUAACAAAUGUCAGAAGGAACAGCAUCGUGCUUGAGAUUGAAGAGAGGCUCAGAUUGAAGAAGCCUCAGGUAGGUUUUUUUUCUCAUCUGAAAUAAUGAAGGCAACGUUCUUGAUUUACAUGCUGAAGGAAAUCAGGCAGAUCGAAAUCAUUUAUGUGAUGAUGAUCUCUGUGG
Molecule: long non-coding RNA, 686 nt
Filed under: Dromaius novaehollandiae (emu)
Lineage: Eukaryota; Metazoa; Chordata; Aves; Casuariiformes; Dromaiidae
Description: lncRNA (ENSDNVG00000002326.1)
Source: RNAcentral